This 484-nucleotide ribosomal RNA is filed under the name uncultured bacterium. RNAcentral describes it as "partial 16S ribosomal RNA". It matches the Rfam family "Bacterial small subunit ribosomal RNA", at positions 29 to 507 of the family's 1533-position model. The record is from RNAcentral.
AUUGAACGCUGGCGGAAUGCUUUACACAUGCAAGUCGAGCGGCAGCGCGGCCUUCGGGCUGGCGGCGAGCGGCGAACGGGUGAGUAAUGCAACGGAACAUGCCCAGUCGUGGGGGAUAACACUUCGAAAGAAGUGCUAAUACCGCAUACGUCCUGAGGGGGAAAGCGGGGGAUCGCAAGACCUCGCGCGAUUGGAGUGGCCGAUGUCAGAUUAGCUAGUUGGUGGGGUAAAGGCCUACCAAGGCGACGAUCUGUAGCUGGUCUGAGAGGAUGAUCAGCCACACUGGGACUGAGACACGGCCCAGACUCCUACGGGAGGCAGCAGUGGGGAAUUUUGGACAAUGGGGGCAACCCUGAUCCAGCCAUUCCGCGUGAGUGAAGAAGGCCUUCGGGUUGUAAAGCUCUUUCGGCAGGAACGAAACGGUGGGCUCUAACAUAGUCCGCUAAUGACGGUACCUGAAGAAGAAGCACCGGCUAACUACGUG